GACCCAGUGGCGGAUGGCCCGCAUCUCCAUUCCUUAACAGAAAUGCUAACGUCAAGAUGUAAGGAGAAGUCGCCUGUUCGAUCCAGGCCUGGGUCA
Molecule: non-coding RNA, 96 nt
Organism: Mycena leptocephala
Lineage: Eukaryota; Fungi; Basidiomycota; Agaricomycetes; Agaricales; Mycenaceae
Source: the annotation of a GenBank genome assembly